AGAUUGAACGCUGGCGGCAGGCCUAACACGUGCAAGUCGAGCGGUAGAGAGGUGCUUGCACCUCUUGAGAGCGGCGGACGGGUGAGUAAUGCCUAGGAAUCUGCCUAGUGGUGGGGGAUAACGUUCGGAAACGGACGCUAAUACCGCAUACGUCCUACGGGAGAAAGCGGGGACCUUCGGGCCUCGCGCCAUUAGAUGAGCCUAGGUCGGAUUAGCUAGUUGGUGAGGUAAUGGCUCACCAAGGCGACGAUCCGUAACUGGUCUGAGAGGAUGAUCAGUCACACUGGAACUGAGACACGGUCCAGACUACUACCGGGAGCAGCAGGUGGGAAAGUAUUGGAACAAGUGGGACGAAAAGCCGUUAGACGUCCAGACCCAUGCCGCGUGUGU
Molecule: ribosomal RNA, 390 nt
Filed under: uncultured soil bacterium
Lineage: Bacteria
Description: bacterial SSU rRNA
Rfam family: Bacterial small subunit ribosomal RNA
Source: RNAcentral